AUAGAGUGCAUGUGAAUGCUCUUUGUGUGGGUUCUUUCAUUGUGAUCUCAUCUGAAAGGCUGUGAUAGUUCACACCUUACUGUGGUUUAAUUACUUGUAGUAUUUUUUAAUGUUGAUGCUAGGAGGCAAGAAGAGCACGGAAAAAGCUAUGUGCAGAAUGCAUGUUCAAGCAAUUUGAACAUGUUGAACAGACUUUAUUGACAGAAUGGAAUCCUUCAAGUCGAAGCUUUUAACCCUGGGCUAAUGACAGCAGGAGGGAAGGGCAAAUGGAUCUAUAACAGCAACAGCACAACUCACUGCAACUGAUAUGCCCCUUUGCCCUUUUCUGGAUUUCAUU
RNAcentral lists this long non-coding RNA (337 nucleotides) under Olea europaea subsp. europaea. Lineage: Eukaryota; Viridiplantae; Streptophyta; Magnoliopsida; Lamiales; Oleaceae. The record is from RNAcentral.